RNAcentral lists this ribosomal RNA (471 nucleotides) under uncultured bacterium. Its description in RNAcentral is "bacterial SSU rRNA". It matches the Rfam family "Bacterial small subunit ribosomal RNA", at positions 355 to 825 of the family's 1533-position model. The record is from RNAcentral.
UGGGGAAUUUUGGACAAUGGGCGAAAGCCUGAUCCAGCAAUGCCGCGUGAGUGAAGAAGGCCUUCGGGUUGUAAAGCUCUUUUGUCAGGGAAGAAACGGUGAAAGCUAAUAUCUUUUGCUAAUGACGGUACCUGAAGAAUAAGCACCGGCUAACUACGUGCCAGCAGCCGCGGUAAUACGUAGGGUGCAAGCGUUAAUCGGAAUUACUGGGCGUAAAGCGUGCGCAGGCGGUUUUGUAAGUCUGAUGUGAAAUCCCCGGGCUCAACCUGGGAAUUGCAUUGGAGACUGCAAGGCUAGAAUCUGGCAGAGGGGGGUAGAAUUCCACGUGUAGCAGUGAAAUGCGUAGAUAUGUGGAGGAACACCGAUGGCGAAGGCAGCCCCCUGGGUCAAGAUUGACGCUCAUGCACGAAAGCGUGGGGAGCAAACAGGAUUAGAUACCCAGUAGUCCCUGAGCGGGCUGGCAAGGCGCAU